RNAcentral lists this ribosomal RNA (497 nucleotides) under uncultured bacterium. RNAcentral's name for it is "partial 16S ribosomal RNA". It matches the Rfam family "Bacterial small subunit ribosomal RNA", at positions 28 to 507 of the family's 1533-position model. The record is from RNAcentral.
GAUGAACGCUGGCGGCGUGCCUAAUACAUGCAAGUCGAGCGAACAGAUGAGGAGCUUGCUCCUCUGACGUUAGCGGCGGACGGGUGAGUAACACGUGGAUAACCUACCUAUAAGACUGGGAUAACUUCGGGAAACCGGAGCUAAUACCGGAUAAUAUAUUGAACCGCAUGGUUCAAUAGUGAAAGACGGUUUUGCUGUCACUUAUAGAUGGAUCCGCGCCGCAUUAGCUAGUUGGUAAGGUAACGGCUUACCAAGGCAACGAUGCGUGGCCGACCUGAGAGGGUGAUCGGCCACACUGGAACUGAGACACGGUCCAGACUCCUACGGGAGGCAGCAGUAGGGAAUCUUCCGCAAUGGGCGAAAGCCUGACGGAGCAACGCCGCGUGAGUGAUGAAGGUCUUCGGAUCGUAAAACUCUGUUAUUAGGGAAGAACAAAUGUGUAAGUAACUAUGCACGUCUUGACGGUACCUAAUCAGAAAGCCACGGCCAACUACGUG